This 377-nucleotide unclassified non-coding RNA is filed under the name uncultured Gammaproteobacteria bacterium. RNAcentral's name for it is "contains 16S-23S intergenic spacer region". The record is from RNAcentral. Lineage: Bacteria; Pseudomonadati; Pseudomonadota; Gammaproteobacteria.
UCCGGCUUAUCACCGGCGGUUUCCUUAGAGUGCCCAACUAAAUGAUGGCAACUAAGGACGAGGGUUGCGCUCGUUGCGGGACUUAACCCAACAUCUCACGACGCGAGCUGACGACAGCCAUGCAGCACCUGUCUCUCGGUUCCCGAAGGCACCCCGGUAUCUCUACCAGGUUCCGAGGAUGUCAAGAGUAGGUAAGGUUCUUCGCGUUGCGUCGAAUUAAACCACAUGCUCCACCGCUUGUGCGGGCCCCCGUCAAUUCCUUCGAGUUUUAGCCUUGCGGCCGUACUCCCCAGGCGGAGAACUUAACGCGUUAGCUUCGCUACUAAGAACCCUUAGGUUCCCAACAGCCAGUUGACAUAGUUUAGGGCGUGGACUAC